GUCGAGAAUCUUUCACAAUGGGGGCAACCCUGAUGGAGCGACGCCGCGUGGAGGAUAAGGUAUUCGGAUUGUAAACUCCUGUCAUGCGUGAACAAGGUUGCUUGGUUAAUACCUGGGCAAAUUGAUGGUAACGCAAGAGGAAGAGACGGCUAACUCUGUGCCAGCAGCCGCGGUAAUACAGAGGUCUCAAGCGUUGUUCGGAAUCACUGGGCGUAAAGGGUGCGUAGGUGGCGUGGUAAGUCAGAUGUGAAAGCCCGGGGCUCAACCUCGGAACUACAUCCGAUACUGCCAUGCUAGAGUACUGGGGAGGUGACUAGAAUUCUCGGUGUAGCAGUGAAAUGCGUAGAUGUCGAGAGGAAUACCAAAGGCGUAGGCAGGUCACUGGACAGUUACUGACACUGAGGCACGAAGGCCAGGGGAGCGAACGGGAUUAGAAACCCUGGUAGUCC
RNAcentral lists this ribosomal RNA (449 nucleotides) under uncultured bacterium. RNAcentral's name for it is "bacterial SSU rRNA". It matches the Rfam family "Bacterial small subunit ribosomal RNA", at positions 354 to 796 of the family's 1533-position model. The record is from RNAcentral.